UACGUAGGGGGCUAGCGUUGUCCGGAUUUAUUGGGCGUAAAGAGCGUGUAGGCGGCCAGGUAGGUCUGGUGUGAAAACUCGAGGCUUAACCUCGAGAUGUCAUCGGAAACCAUCUGGCUAGAGUCCGGAAGAGGAGAGUGGAAUUCCUGGUGUAGCGGUGAAAUGCGCAGAUAUCGGGAAGAACACCCGUGGCUAAGGCGGCUCUCUAGUACGGUACUGACGCUGAGACGCGAAAGCGUGGGGAGCGAACAGG
Molecule: ribosomal RNA, 253 nt
Filed under: uncultured bacterium
Lineage: Bacteria
Description: partial 16S ribosomal RNA
Rfam family: Bacterial small subunit ribosomal RNA
Source: RNAcentral